Mesocricetus auratus (golden hamster) is the source of this 1493-nucleotide long non-coding RNA. RefSeq lists it as uncharacterized. NCBI's taxonomy places the organism in Eukaryota, Metazoa, Chordata, Mammalia, Rodentia, Cricetidae. The record is from RefSeq and is a predicted model, not a curated record. The transcript has 2 exons.
GCCUGGGAAAGAGCGUGAAAGAGGGCAGGAACUACCGUUAACACAUCUGCUGUGGACGCUCUCCUCCACUCCCACCCUGAGUGGGACCCUCCCCUCCUGACUGAGCUCUCGCCGUGGCUAUUUCAGAUUCCUGUGUCGAUGACUUGAAGUUCUUCCCUUUGUUUUUCUGUAGCUUACCUUCUCUGCUCUGCUACAAGCCUCCUGAGAAGUGUCUACUGUGGACUCUUACGUGUCACAUGGGAUGGCCACAGUUCACAGCAAGGUACACACACAGAAGAGGAGAAUGUUCUAUCCACGCCCUCUCGGCCACACCCCUUGGCCUGCUCUGAUAUCCACAGACCUUGUUCUCUUAUUUCUAAAUACGGUGCUAUAGCAGUGGUGAAGGGAAGUCAGCACUGUCUACGCCACAGCACACGGGCGGUCUCCCAGAAGCACCCCACUACAAGACUCAUCACUGCCUGACUUCACAGCCAGGUCGCCCUGGAGACCCUGGGUCUGUGUCCCUCCUGCUGCAGGCACAGCCUCUCCCUAGACCCGGAACAUGGUUUGCUGUGGGACAUGUAGUAUUACUCUCACUCGUGAGGGUGGUCGGCCACCAACAGCAAGCAGCAUGUGUCACUCUGCACACAAACUUCUAUUUUUCUCUUUCCUCAGAAGUUACUGAGAACUCAGGAUAGGUGCUGAUGUUUACUCUCUUGCAGCUUUACAUACCACAGCCAUGAGGUGUCCCCGAGUCGGAGGGCGGCGGGAGUGCUGGAUUUUAGCUCUGUCUCGAGUAGGGUGGGCAAGGAGGCUGUCUUCCUCGACGGUGACCUGAAGAGAUGCACUGUGAGUCCCAGGUUUUCUUUAGGACAACUAGCCUGGACUGGGGACUAAGCCCACCCCACCAACUAUUUCUGGGCAGGCCACAGGUAGAAGGAUUUAUGGGCACAGAUGCUCCAAGGCUGGCUCAGCAUCAGGAAGCUGGAGAGGAUGGGCGAGCAGAGAAAGGACUUCAGAGAGAAGACAGGGACAACGGGGCCUUCACAGACGCAGAGAAAGUAGAGCAGGGAGGGCUAGAGGUCCCCCCCAUAGCGAGUCACCCCUUGCUUUCUGCCCUAGAGGCUCUUGCCCACAGCAGGCCCCCACCUCAUCCAGGAUGCGGUUCUUGGCCCUGGUGAUGGCAGAGCUCAGGGCGUUGAUCCAGGACUCCUUUUCUUCAGGACUCACCGCCAGGAAGAUCAGGUUGGGGGCCUAUGAGGGUUGUACCAAUAAAAAAAGAGAGAUGAUAACCUCAUCCCUCACACCCAGCUCCUGGAAAGAGAGGCUCUGCAUCUGGAAUCAUGAACGACUGAAGAAAACCCUGAGUCUGUGCCUGCAGAAUGCACAGGUUGUUUUAGACAUGAUCAGGGAAGAGCUAAGAGUCACACUGGAUUUGAACUUGACACUGCAGACAAUUAGGGGAGCUGUAACAAAGCUUAGAUAUUAGAGAUCUUUAAAUGUCUCAAGACACA